Molecule: non-coding RNA, 2039 nt
Organism: Saimiri boliviensis boliviensis (Bolivian squirrel monkey)
Lineage: Eukaryota; Metazoa; Chordata; Mammalia; Primates; Cebidae
Source: RefSeq, a predicted model, not a curated record
ACCCCCGGGCCCGAGAGGAGGAUGCAGACGCCGCGGCCGGCGAUGAGGAUGGAGGCCGGAGAGGUAGCGCCGCCGGCAGGGGCGGGCGGCCGCGCCGCGGGCUGCUGGGGCAAGUGGGUGCGGCUCAACGUCGGGGGCACGGUGUUCCUGACCACCCGGCAGACGCUGUGCCGCGAGCAGAAGUCCUUCCUCAGCCGCCUGUGCCAGGGGGAAGAGCUGCAGUCGGACCGGGAUGAGACCGGGGCCUACCUCAUUGACCGUGACCCCACCUACUUUGGGCCCAUCCUGAACUUCCUCCGUCAUGGCAAGCUGGUGCUGGACAAGGACAUGGCUGAGGAGGGCGUCUUGGAGGAAGCCGAGUUCUACAACAUCGGCCCGCUGAUCCGCAUCAUCAAAGACCGGAUGGAAGAGAAGGACUACACAGUCACCCAGGUCCCACCCAAGCACGUGUAUCGCGUGCUGCAGUGCCAGGAGGAGGAGCUCACGCAGAUGGUCUCCACCAUGUCUGACGGCUGGCGUUUUGAGCAGCUGGUGAACAUCGGCUCCUCCUACAGCUACGGCAGCGAGGAUCAGGCCGAGUUCCUGUGUGUGGUGUCCAAGGAGCUCCACAGCUCCCCGAACGGGCUGAGUUCCGAGUCCAGCCGCAAGACCAAGCCCAGUCAUCUCAGGAUCCCGCUAACCUUUUCUCCCUCCCACCACUGCCUCCUCCUCCGCUUCCCGCUGGAGGUCCUGCCUCAUCUUCAUCCACCUCUUCUUCCUCCUGGAUCUCAUCUGCACCCUGCCUCUUCCCUCUCUGCCCCUGUCCGGGUUUUCUCUCUGCCUGCUCACGCCUCCAUCCCGGGGCUGCCCUGGUCCCAGCCUCCCGUGCCCUCCACGCAGGCCCCCUGGCCCUGCAUCCCAGACCAUCCUGCCUGCCGCCUCCUGCGCCCCUUCUGGUACCUCCUGCCUCCCAGCCUGGGGAGGAGGGGCGCAGCUGUACCUCCUCUGUGCCCACCAACCCUGCCGGGCACCUCUGAGGCUCGGCCUCGGGCCCUGCCCCGCCUCUCCUCCUCCCGCCGCCUCCUCACGUCUCCUCCUUGCAGGUUUCCGCCCGCACCCUCUCAGACCUGAGGCUGAGCUUGCCGUGAGGGCUUCUCCUCGGCCCCUCGCCCGCCCCCAGAGCUGCCAUCCCUGCUGUUACAAGCCAGAGGCACCUGGAUGUGAGGCCCCAGAUCACCUCCAGGGACUUGGGGUUCCCAUCUGAAAUCCUUUAUUUUUGUACCAUGGGGUGGGCCCCGGGCCUGAGAAGGAAGAAGUGCCCUCUCCCUGGCCUCCUCUGUCUGCAUCCAUGGGGCUGUGACUUACCCCUGCCUCCAGGGGCAGGGCGGGGGCCCCCUGGGACCUCUCAAGGCCUGAGGUGGGCCCCAGGCCCCCUGGGCGGAGCCGACUGCCCGUGGCGGACAUGUGGCACUGCCUGGCCAUGCCUCUGCAGCCCCCACACCCCCUCGCCCAGGUCCCCCUGCUGCAUGGCAGACGUGCGCCCUCCUGGCCCGGUCACAGCGCCUCCUUGAGCCUUAGUCCAGGGGUAACUCCUCCCACCCCACCUACCUCACAGGGUUGUUGUGAGGGUGCACGGAGGAGCCAGGUCCCCGAAGGCCCUCAGGUAGUAUAUAGGGGCAGCCCCCCCUUCAGCUGCCCCGGGAGGGAAAGGACCCAGCCCCACCCCCUGGCAGAACGCUGUUUGCAAAUGGAGAUUCAGGUACUGGGGAUACGGGGUGUGGGGAGCUGGCCUGUCAGAGUAGGGGCAGCUGGCUCAGUCUUCACCGCGGUGAUCCCGCCCCCAGCCACUUGCAUUGCCAGCCCAGCACCUGGCCUGGAGGGCGGGGAGAGGCAGCGGAAGGGGCUGGGCAGGGGCAGUGGAGGACUCAGGAAGUGCGCAGGGGAGAGUGGGCGUGACGGCUGAGCCAGGGGCCCCUCCUGAGUUUGCCUUCCCGGGAUGGGCCCUUGCUUCUCAGCUGUGUUGGACCCCACCAUGUAAUAAAGCCCGAAGGAACAGCCCA